GUCCCUGUAGCGCAAUGGAUAGCGUUUUGAACUUCUAAUGCAAACGUCGUGGGUUCGAAACAUACCUGGGAUG
Molecule: non-coding RNA, 73 nt
Organism: Trichonephila clavata
Lineage: Eukaryota; Metazoa; Arthropoda; Arachnida; Araneae; Nephilidae
Source: the annotation of a GenBank genome assembly